AUUGAACGCUGGCGGCAUGGCUAAAACAUGCAAGUCGAACGAGAACCCCGCAAGGGGGGACGAGUGGCGGAAGGGUGAGGAAUAGUAUCGAACGUACCCCGAGGUGGGGGAUAGGCACGGGAAACUGUGCGUAAUACCCCAUGAUCUCCAAGGAGCAAAGGCGCAAGUCGCCUUGGGAGCGGCGAUAGUUCCUAUCAGGUAGUUGGCGGGGUAAAGGCCCACCAAGCCGAAGACGGGUAGCCGGUAUGAGAGUACGGCCGGCCACAUCGAGACUGAGACACUGCUCGGACUCCUACGGGAGGCUGCAGUAACGAUAUUCGCAAUGCGCGAAAGCGUGACGGAGCAAUGCCGCGUGCAGGAUGAA
This 364-nucleotide ribosomal RNA is filed under the name uncultured bacterium. RNAcentral's name for it is "bacterial SSU rRNA". It matches the Rfam family "Bacterial small subunit ribosomal RNA", at positions 29 to 412 of the family's 1533-position model. The record is from RNAcentral.